AGCUGGUAUUUUCCCGCACUUAAUUUAGCUUAUCUGCUAGCUUGCACCUAGUAACAUAUAGGACCUACCACUUUUCUGUAUUGUUGAAAACACCUUGGAAAGUUGAGUAAAAUGUUUACUAAGAUUUUUUUUACACUUGUGGUCUUAGGAGUUGCCCCAAGUGUUCGGGCACAGGUAGCCAGUCAAUGUAAUGUAGCGUGUCCCUUCAUCUAUAUGCCCGUGUGCGCUAGCAAUGAUCUAACUUACGCCAACAAGUGUGUCAUGGAGUCCAUGUCUUGUGUCGAUGGACUGGGUUUAACUUUGAAGCAUGAAGGAGCUUGCGCAGCUAAAUAAAUAAAAACCACUGAGCCAACAACUUGAAGGAUCAUCAUAAACCAAAUCACAAGUGUUUUGAAAUAAUAAAAAUUAGGCUAACAUUUAGAUUUAACAGGCAUAACUCUUUUAAAAAAAAAUGAUUAGGUGAUUAGUUUAGGCCUAGUGCCGCCUAGAUCUAUGUUGUCAAUUUUUUUUUUUGGUUUAUUGUUUGACUAUAAAUAUCUAGUAGAUCUAGAUCUAUAAAGAUUUGUCAUCGGCUUUGUGCUGAACCAUUUGUUCCACAUUAAAAAUGUAUUUGAAUGUUGUAAAACCAAAAUAUUUUAAAUUUACUGUACAGGCCUAGAUUAGAUCUAAUACUAAUAUUAAUAAACAACUUGCUCAACUCAU
This is a long non-coding RNA of Physella acuta, 702 nucleotides long. RefSeq lists it as uncharacterized. Lineage: Eukaryota; Metazoa; Mollusca; Gastropoda; Physidae. The record is from RefSeq and is a predicted model, not a curated record.